Molecule: small RNA, 685 nt
Filed under: Pan troglodytes (chimpanzee)
Lineage: Eukaryota; Metazoa; Chordata; Mammalia; Primates; Hominidae
Description: retained intron
Source: RNAcentral
GGGAGUGACCAGGAGCAUGGCUAGCUGAAGGGCUUGUUUCUGCAGGACAUGGACUACUCACGCAUCAUCGAGCGCCUCCUGAAGCUGGCGGUGAGUGCGGACAGGUGGCGCAUGCGCAGGACAGGAGGGGACAGUGGCAUGUGGGGGAAGGUUCUAGAACUUGGUGCCCACCCCCACCUCCCUGCCAGGUCCCCAAUCACCUCAUCUGGCUCAUCUUCUUCUACUGGCUCUUCCACUCCUGCCUGAAUGCCGUGGCUGAGCUCAUGCAGUUUGGAGACCGGGAGUUCUACCGGGACUGGUGGUGAGUGUCCCUGGGGUGUCCCUGGGGGCUGGGAUGGGCCAUGGUGUGCUCUGAUCCCCCUGUGGUCUCUUGGCCCCUAGGAACUCCGAGUCUGUCACCUACUUCUGGCAGAACUGGAACAUCCCUGUGCACAAGUGGUGCAUCAGGUAGGUGGGGUGUGUGUGUGUGUGAUGUGGAAGAUGGCUGUGAACCUGAACCACUUUUCACACUCCCCCCUCUGCAGACACUUCUACAAGCCCAUGCUUCGACGGGGCAGCAGCAAGUGGAUGGCCAGGACAGGGGUGUUCCUGGCCUCGGCCUUCUUCCACGAGUACCUGGUGAGCGUCCCUCUGCGAAUGUUCCGCCUCUGGGCGUUCACAGGCAUGAUGGCUCAGGUGAGCGACC